This 253-nucleotide ribosomal RNA is filed under the name uncultured bacterium. Its description in RNAcentral is "partial 16S ribosomal RNA". It matches the Rfam family "Bacterial small subunit ribosomal RNA", at positions 524 to 776 of the family's 1533-position model. The record is from RNAcentral.
UACGUAGGGUGCGAUCGUUAAUCGGAAUUACUGGGCGUAAAGCGUGCGCAGGCGGUUUUGUAAGCCAGAUGUGAAAUGCCCGGGCUUAACCUGGGAAUGGCAUUUGGGACUGCAAGGCUGGAGUAUGGCAGAGGGGACUGGAAUUCCUGGUGUAGCAGUGAAAUGCGUAGAUAUCAGGAGGAAUACCGAUGGCGAAGGCAGGUCCCUGGGCUGAUACUGACGCUCAUGCACGAAAGCGUGGGGAGAAAACAGG